GACGAACGCUGGCGGCGUGCUUAACACAUGCAAGUCGAACGGAAAGGCCCUGCUUUUGUGGGGUGCUCGAGUGGCGAACGGGUGAGUAACACGUGAGUAACCUGCCCUUGACUUUGGGAUAACUUCAGGAAACUGGGGCUAAUACCGGAUAGGAGCUCCUGCUGCAUGGUGGGGGUUGGAAAGUUUCGGCGGUUGGGGAUGGACUCGCGGCUUAUCAGCUUGUUGGUGGGGUAGUGGCUUACCAAGGCUUUGACGGGUAGCCGGCCUGAGAGGGUGACCGGCCACAUUGGGACUGAGAUACGGCCCAGACUCCUACGGGAGGCAGCAGUGGGGAAUAUUGCAAAAUGGGCGGAAGCCUGAUGCAGCAACGCCGCGGGCGGGAUGACGGCCUUCGGGUUGUAAACCGCUUUCGCCUGUGACGAAGCGUGAGUGACGGUAAUGGGUAAAGAAGCACCGGCUAACUACGUG
RNAcentral lists this ribosomal RNA (468 nucleotides) under uncultured bacterium. RNAcentral's name for it is "partial 16S ribosomal RNA". It matches the Rfam family "Bacterial small subunit ribosomal RNA", at positions 28 to 507 of the family's 1533-position model. The record is from RNAcentral.